This 234-nucleotide ribosomal RNA is filed under the name uncultured Candidatus Saccharibacteria bacterium. RNAcentral's name for it is "partial 16S ribosomal RNA". It matches the Rfam family "Bacterial small subunit ribosomal RNA", at positions 585 to 818 of the family's 1533-position model. The record is from RNAcentral. Lineage: Bacteria; Candidatus Saccharimonadota.
AAGUGGAUAGUGAAACCUGGUGGCUCAACCAUUCAGACUAUUAUCCAAACUGCUAAGCUCGAGAAUGGUAGAGGUAGCUGGAAUUUCCUGUGUAAGAGUGAAAUCCGUAGAUAUAGGAAGGAACACCAAUGGCGUAGGCAGGCUACUGGACCAUUUCUGACACUGAGGCACGAAAGCGUGGGAGCGAACCGGAUUAGAUACCCGGGUAGUCCACGCCGUAAACUAUGGAUACUA